This 398-nucleotide ribosomal RNA is filed under the name uncultured bacterium. RNAcentral describes it as "partial 16S ribosomal RNA". It matches the Rfam family "Bacterial small subunit ribosomal RNA", at positions 523 to 918 of the family's 1533-position model. The record is from RNAcentral.
AUACGUAGGGUGCGAGCGUUGUCCGGAAUUACUGGGCGUAAAGAGCUCGUAGGUGGUUUGUCGCGUCGUCUGUGAACUUCCGGGGCUUAACUCCGGGCGCGCAGGCGAUACGGGCAUAACUUGAGUACUGUAGGGGAGACCGGACUUCCUGGUGUAGCGGUGAACUGCGCAGAUAUCAGGAGGAACACCGGUGGCGAAGGCGGGUCUCUGGGCAGUAACUGACGCUGAGGAGCGAAAGCAUGGGUAGCGAACAUGAUUAGAUACCCUGGUAGUCCAUGCCGUAAACGGUGGGCGCUAGGUGUAGGGGUCUUCCACGACUUCUGUGCCGUAGCUAACGCAUUAAGCGCCCCGCCUGGGGAGUACGGCCGCAAGGCUAAAACUCAAAGGAAUCGACGGGG